Molecule: ribosomal RNA, 451 nt
Filed under: uncultured bacterium
Lineage: Bacteria
Description: bacterial SSU rRNA
Rfam family: Bacterial small subunit ribosomal RNA
Source: RNAcentral
UACGGGAGGCAGCAGUGGGGAAUAUUGCACAAUGGGCGCAAGCCUGAUGCAGCCAUGCCGCGUGUAUGAAGAAGGCCUUCGGGUUGUAAAGUACUUUCAGUCGUGAGGAAGGUGUUAAGGUUAAUAACCUUAGCAAUUGACGUUAGCGACAGAAGAAGCACCGGCUAACUCCGUGCCAGCAGCCGCGGUAAUACGGAGGGUGCGAGCGUUAAUCGGAAUUACUGGGCGUAAAGGGCACGCAGGCGGUUAAUUAAGUUGGAUGUGAAAUCCCCGGGCUUAACCUGGGAAUGGCAUUCAAGACUGGUUAGCUAGAGUCUUGUAGAGGGGGUAGAAUUCCAUGUGUAGCGGUGAAAUGCGUAGAGAUGUGGAGGAAUACCGGUGGCGAAGGCGGCCCCUGGACAAAGACUGACGCUCAUGUGCGAAAGCGUGGGGAGCAAACAGGAUUGAUACC